RNAcentral lists this ribosomal RNA (191 nucleotides) under uncultured Bacteroidota bacterium. RNAcentral's name for it is "uncultured Bacteroidetes bacterium 16S ribosomal RNA". It matches the Rfam family "Bacterial small subunit ribosomal RNA", at positions 338 to 526 of the family's 1533-position model. Lineage: Bacteria; Pseudomonadati; Bacteroidota. The record is from RNAcentral.
CCUACGGGAGGCAGCAGUGAGGAAUAUUGGACAAUGGGCGCAAGCCUGAUCCAGCCAUGCCGCGUGCAGGAAGACUGCCCUAUGGGUUGUAAACUGCUUUUAUAUAGGAAGAAACCUUGGUACGUGUACCAAGCUGACGGUACUAUAAGAAUAAGGAUCGGCUAACUCCGUGCCAGCAGCCGCGGUAAUAC